CCCACCUAAGGGAAUUAGUUUUACACCUUCAGAUAAAGACUGCUGAGAAGAGCACCCUCUGGUGUUGUCACAGAGGCAAGUGCUACCGCACAGGCAUGCUGCAGUGAAUUUAACUGAUCCUCUGUCCCUGCAACCGUUGUUUAAGGAUGCUAUUCUGAAAAGACUGUGGAGGAAGAAAACCCUUUACCCUGUUGUUCAGGGAGAAACUGACACCACUCAACUGCCUGGCACUGAAAAUGUGGCAUCCAGUCCACUUUACCAUCAGUGUUUAAGGAAACCAUCUCUGAUAAGGAUGACUGAGGAAGAGUACUCUUUGGCUUGUUGACACCAGCACAGCUGACACACCCAGAUAUCUGUUUGGUCUCCUGUGAACUUUCAACCAGGAUUUAAGGAUGCCACUCUGGUUAAAAGCUGAAACAACUUCAAGGAAACUUCAGGGAAAAGAGAUAGAAGGCCUGGAAUCUGAUCCUCCACUUCAGAGAACAGGGGUGGUGGAGUCUAUGGCCCUUCUCCUUGAAUCUGAGUGAAAUUAGUGAGUCUUUCAAUCCAAAGACUACAGUCAUACCUCAACUAUCUACAGAGGACUGGUUCCAGGACUCCCAUGGAUCCCAAAAUCCAAGGAUGCUUCGAAUCCCUUAUAUAAAAUGGCAUGGUAUUUGCAUAUAACCUACAUGCAUCUUCAAAUAUGUUAAACCAUCUCUAGAUUACUUAUAAUACCAAAUACAAUGUAAUGCUAUGUAAACAGUUGUUACAAUGUAUUGUCAAAGACAAGCUCUCCUUGCCAAUCCCUGACCAAAUGAGAGAUUCAUGAGCAAAAUAAAUAGUUGCUGAUAUUUAAGGCACUAAGUUUGGGGCAAUGUAUUACACAGCAAUAAAUAACUGGAACAGCAUAGUAAAUUCUAGUUAAAAAUACUAAACUACUAAGUUUUAGUUAACAUACAUGCUCAAGUUAAGGGUGUGGUAUACUAACAACUGCAACUUACUUUGAAAAGCAUAAAAAAAGACACUAGAAGAAGACAGGAUGGAUAGAUGGACAAGAUAGAAGACAAUAACAAAUAGAACAAAAUGUUGUGAAAUUAUAUUCUACAAUUAUUUUAAAGUCUGUGUGGUUUGAAAAAUUGUACGAUAAAAUGAAGAGUGAAAUAAAGACAUUUCCAUACAAACAAAA
This 1168-nucleotide long non-coding RNA is filed under the name Homo sapiens (human). RNAcentral's name for it is "small nucleolar RNA host gene 14". The record is from RNAcentral. Lineage: Eukaryota; Metazoa; Chordata; Mammalia; Primates; Hominidae.